UCGCGGUUCCGGUUGCCAUUUCCGCGUAUGCGCGAUAAAACCCGGCCAGAAUCCCAACACUGCUCGGCGGCUGGAUCGUUGGAUUCGAAUCCUCGAUAAACGUAUACAAGCGCCUACCUAACGACUGUCCGCGGUGUUUAUCUUUUUGCCUCUUUGCGAUGGUUCGACCGAUUAGAAAAACGUUACACAGUUUCUUAUAGCAGAACCCUAAAGUAAUACCGAACGUCGAACAGUACACGAAGUUUAAAUCUCAACGUCUUCCUACUUCCUACGAACACGACGAGCUGAAAGCAGUUGAGACUCAGAAGCUCGCGAGUGAAAGAAACAACCUACGGAAGAACUGCAAGCGAAUUUUCCAGUAAUAAUUGAUAUCGACUCGACUAAGUAAUUAGAAUUAACUAGAAAUCUUGUACUCCAGUUGAAAGAUGAGUUACGAAACAGAAGUAGUACGAAGCCGAGUUGAAGUAACACGAGAAAAUAAUAUCAAGAUUAUUGGAGUGCAAUCUAUUAACGUGCAUUCAGCUAACGUGGAACUUGCCUUCAAUGAUAUCCAUUAAACGCACGAAAAACUGAAAGGAGUCGUAUCUGGAUACAAAAAUAAUGAGUUGUAUUGAAAGAGAGUGUGCAGGAAAUCUGGAAACGAUAAAGGGCUUGGAAAUCCGAUACGAGCAACUGAUGGACCAUGUCUUGUCUCAAUUACAAAAACUAAUCACGAAUUGGACCAUGUACGAAAGCAGCACGAGGAUGAAACCGUGACGCUUCACGGGAUGGUUAAGAAAGCGGAGUUGAAAAGCGACUCAACGGCGGACUCGAACAGAAGGUCGAACAGAAGACUGAGAAGACCAAAGAACUGACGCAUAUACUGGACGAUGUAAUCGCCAGGGUGGGCCUCCAGAACGCGAAGUAAAAUCCAAGAAUAUUUACAAGUUAGAUAAAAAAUCUUAUUACUUUAACUUUCAGUAUAGAGACGAAAUACAUAUAUCGAUAUUGCAUCGCGUACUUACUUUUCUAACUGGGUCAAUGCAUGGCCCCGCGUUUGCUUAUAUUGGAUUUCCAAACCUUUUAUCGUUUCCAGGUUCUCUUGAAUGUUCUCUUUCAAUGCCAACUCAUUGUAUUUAUAUCCAUAUACUGCAUCUUUCAGUUUUUCGUACCUUCGUUUGGACAUCGCUGAAUGCAACCUUCAUGUUAGUUGAACGCUUGUUGAUAGAUUGCACUUAUAAUUUUGUUAUUAUUUUUGCGCGCUUCUUUAAUUUAGGCAUCGUACUCCUUGCGUUACUGUAGCGCCGCUUUUAACUGGAGUACAACAGUUCUGGCUAAUUUUAACUAUUUAGUCAUGUCGAUAUCGAUAAUUAUUGGAACAUUCGCUUUCGAUUCUUCCGUAGGCUUCAAUUUUCCGUAUCUUACUGUUUUAAAGUUAUCUUUACAAGAAUAAUAUCUGGGAAAUUGAAAUUUGAAACGAGUAAUUGAAGUGCCAGUUAGAAAAAUAAGUACGUACGAUUACGUUGCGAUACCGAUGUAUAUUAAACUCUCAAAAUCUUUCAGAGGUCAUUACAAAUUGAUGUAUUACAUAGGAACAGUCUACGGAGCUCAGCACUUUAAAAUAAGAUUUUUUAUCUAAUGUUUGUACACGAAUAAUUAAGUACGACGAAUAAAUAAGAACGACGAACCAUAGAGAUUGUUAAAAUCGUUUAUUUUUAUCAAAUCACACAACAUGAUGUAUGUACAAGUCUUGUUUUUAAACGGACAUUGAAAUAGAUCCCGAACGCGAACAGUUCCGAAUCCCACAUAGAAUAUGUAUAUCACGAUAAAUACAAGUUUGAUUUGUCGUAGUCCUCGUCUCCGCGGUUGUUGUACAUAUUAGUAUAAAACCUAGUUUACAG
This is a long non-coding RNA of Ceratina calcarata, 1880 nucleotides long. RefSeq lists it as uncharacterized. The transcript is spliced from 3 exons. NCBI's taxonomy places the organism in Eukaryota, Metazoa, Arthropoda, Insecta, Hymenoptera, Apidae. The record is from RefSeq and is a predicted model, not a curated record.